GGGGUUGUAGCUCAGUGGCAGAGUGCUUGCCUCACAUGUAUGAGGCACUGGGUUCCAUCCUCAGUUCCA
This 69-nucleotide transfer RNA is filed under the name Marmota marmota marmota (Alpine marmot). It matches the Rfam family "tRNA". From Rfam's summary of the family: Transfer RNA (tRNA) molecules are approximately 80 nucleotides in length. RNAcentral also lists the same sequence under 1 other name. Lineage: Eukaryota; Metazoa; Chordata; Mammalia; Rodentia; Sciuridae. The record is from Rfam by way of RNAcentral.